RNAcentral lists this ribosomal RNA (846 nucleotides) under Triticum aestivum (bread wheat). RNAcentral's name for it is "partial small subunit ribosomal RNA". Lineage: Eukaryota; Viridiplantae; Streptophyta; Magnoliopsida; Poales; Poaceae. The record is from RNAcentral.
AUGGCUGCUGCACCAAAUGCCUUCUCGGCUCAUUUGGAAAAAUGGAUCGUUCAGCAGACCAAGGAUUCCAUAUUUUUUGUGAAUAUCUCUCCUAAUUUGGACUUCAAGAGUAAACUGGAAGAUCUUAUGGAGAAAGCCAAAACUGUGCCAGUGGGGGAAAGAGCAGAGGCGCUGAAUCCGAAAGGCAAAUGUGCCGGGUCUGUUGUCGAAGUUAGAACAAGGGAGAUCAUUAUCUUAUCAAGUGCCCAUCUCAUGGAGCAUGUCUACACAGUUUCAAAACCUCUUUCUGUUCGUCUUGCCAAAACGUAUUUCCAUACAGAUGUCCUUUGUGACCACUAUGAGGUUAGUUUCAGUCGACCUGGGCAACAUACACAUACUAAAAGGAAGUAUGCCUCAGCUACAAUUAUUGGCAUAGAUUGUGAACAGGACUUGCUCCUCAUCUCCGUGCCACGAGUGAAUCUGAAGAACUUGGAUAGUGACUGCAGCGUCAGCCAUCCUCCUCUUACCUUCAGUUCAGUCCUUCCUGUGCAACUUGAUGAGUGUAUUAUGCUUUCGUGGCCUCCUUUGCAACACCGGACUGUGGUUAAAGGUAGUAUUUGUCACAUUUCAAGAGCACUCUAUGAUUUAGUGAAGAAGUUGGACAACCCUGUUGGGUAUGGGAUGAGGCUCCUGCAAGUAACAAUCGCGAGUGAAAACGGGAGCUCUGGAGCUCCACUGCUGGAUGGAAGAGGAAAGGUCAUUGGAAUCCUACAUGGAGGUUCGGGAGGCCCAUUCUCUUACUUUGUCAAGCUUCGUCACAUCAUACCGUUCCUGACAAAACAUGGCAUAGUUGCGCGUCAGGGUUAG